UUUAAUCCCACUACUAUGGAGGCUGAUGC
This 29-nucleotide non-coding RNA is filed under the name Rattus norvegicus (Norway rat). Lineage: Eukaryota; Metazoa; Chordata; Mammalia; Rodentia; Muridae. The record is from RNAcentral.